AUUAAAGAAACAUUUUUGGGCAUGAUUCCACGAAAGUACUUAUUAACCGCUAUUAAACGCUGACACAAAAUUUUAAAGCGCGCACAAAAUGAAAUCGUGAAAAAGUAGUCAAGAAACAUUUUCAAUGUUUUGAUUUAACAUCGGAUUCGUAAAAACAUCGACGAACAACGAUGUUUGAAGCCACGACCAUCGAUGUUGCUCGAUACAUCGAUGUUUUUUUACGACCCUAAUAUAAACGCAAAAGAAAUGAUAUAAAUAUGUCAAAAUUCAAUUAUGAGAACAUUCAUUUAAUUGUUGUGGAGAAAAGCUAGUCGUUAGAAAAUCGGUUUGUGCAAGAAAUAAGUAAUUGCAAUUAUUUCAUAUAAUUUCUACGCCAGAGGUUUUCAGUGUUAUAAAUUGAGUACGUGACGAUGACGAUAACUACGAAACUGUGAAAAGCGAAUUUGUGAAAAUGCGAACGAAAUCAACAAACGCAGUAGAUUGAAUAGAUUAUUAUGUACAUAUAAUCUCGCAGCUUAAAUUGCAGCAGUAUUUAUUAAAUUAUAACGCGCAAAGUGCGUAAUUUCAGUAUUUUAGGAGAAAAAGUAAACAACUCUAAAAUUAGUUGGUUGAAGAGGCAAAGACAAUCGACAAUUGAAAACAGCGGCCACAACUGUCGUUGAAGUGGAUUGUGUGCAGUUGAAUAAAAUAGUAAAAAACUUUUAAAGUAAGAAAACUAAUUUGGUUUUAUUAAAAAUGAAUCUCUCAUUUGCUGGAUGUGGUUUCUUGGGAAUAUAUCAUGUGGGUGUGGCAGUAUGUUUCAAAAAAUAUGCACCACAUCUGCUUGAGAAAAUUGGAGGCGCGUCAGCGGGUGCACUAUCUGCGUGCUGCUUACUUUGUGAUUUGCCGUUAGGCAGUAUGACAUCUGACUUUUUUCGUGUGGUUAAUGAGGCUCGCCGUCAUUCGCUCGGACCUUUCAGUCCCUCAUUUAAUAUACAAACUUGCUUGUUUGAAGGUUUACAAAAGCAUUUGCCAGAGGAUGCGCAUAAACGGGUCAAUGGGCGCUUACAUAUUUCGUUAACGCGAGUUCAUGAUGGUAAAAAUGUCAUCGUUUCCGAAUUCAAUUCGCGCGAUGAACUCUUGCAAGCUUUGCUGUGCGCCUGCUUCAUUCCAGGCUUCUCAGGCAUAUUCCCACCUCGGUUUCGUGGAGUGCGGUAUAUGGAUGGAGCUUUUUCAGACAACUUGCCAAUUCUGGAUGAGAACACAAUUACUGUAAGCCCCUUCUGUGGUGAGAGUGAUAUUUGUCCACGUGAUCAAAGUUCUCAACUCUUCCAUUUGAAUUGGGCUAAUACCAGCAUUGAAAUAUCUCGGCAGAAUGUUAAUCGUUUCGUCCGAAUUUUGUUUCCACCGCGGCCGGAAUUUCUUUCGAAAUUCUGUCAGCAAGGGUUCGACGAUGCAAUGCAGUUCCUUCAUCGUAAUAAUUUAAUAAAUUGUCGUCGUUGUGUAGCUGUGCAAUCGACAUUUGUAGUAUCAGAGACAGUGGCACAACCUCAGGACUUUGAUCCUGAAUGCAGAGAAUGCAAAAAGCAUAGAAAUGACGCUUUAAGCUCAAACAUGCCACAGACUGUAUUGGAUGUCAUUCAAGAUUAUAUCGAACAAGCUAAUAAAGGCUUGGCCAAUUGGAUAUUUAAGCACCGAGGAAUAAAACUGCUGUCCCUGCCAGCAACAGUACCUAUGGAUUUCUUCUUGGCCACAGUAUCGAAGAUUACUAAACUUACACCAAAACUGAGCAAACACGUUCGCGUGAGGAUAGAAAAUAUUUUAAGGCAAUUAAAUAACACAGUGCAGACCCGCAUUUUAAGCAAUUUUACGAUUUGCGAACCGCCUCAUUUCGAUACGACUGGCUUACUUCAUUCCAACCGUCUAUAUGGGCCAAGGGUAUCGAUAUUAGUUGAUGAGUGUGGUGCUCCUUCCAUUGAAGGUGAUGUGGACAACUAUGAGCAUGUUCUUAGAGUAACCACUCACAAUGAUGCACUUUACGCUUACUAUUAUACAGAUGACCUUACGAACAAAGUUAAAGUUACAGAAAUUUUCGAAAUUGAUUAUGACGAACAACUUGCAACCGAUCCGAAAUUAUACGAAGGCAAAGUUGAAGAUCACCCGAAUCCCCAUCAACAUCACCACAAUGUUGUUAGUGAAUGGAACGGCGUAGAAUCAGUACAAGUUAUACCCAGCAAGCCUGAAAAUCGAGAAGAUAUUUUUUAAAACAAACGCUAAUUAUUUUUAAUUUUUUAAACACAUGCGAAAACUUUGUAGACCAAAAAUUGUUGAAUGUUUUAGAUAUUACAUGAUGAACAGCCUUUUAUAUUGAUGAACUACCUUUCGAAUGGGAUUUCACAGAUUCCACAUCCAAAAGUUCGACAAAAACUGUUCAUACUGCAUACCAGAUAGACAAAUGUGAAGCCAUUGAUGGUGCUAAUAUUGGAUUAGAAAUCGAAACUGGUGCUUUCAGAGAAGUGGAUCACUAUUUUGCCAAACAACAGCAAAGAAGCAAGAACAUUCAGCACAACACCUAUCAAUAUCUUUAACCGAACAACGUUCGGUAGCUACAAAUUGGGAUUGAUAUUCCCAUUCCAAGAGAAAGGCGAUUGCGGUGACAUGGAAAAUUCAUUUUAUGUACAUACAUAUACUAAUGUUUUAACUUAUUGAGAUUUUUCAUUACUUGCCUAUAGUUAUUUAAAUACACACAGACGUUAUUUAAAUACGUACGGUCAUUAUACAUGUAUAUUUUCUACAUAAGAUAAUUGCGAAAUCCUUCAGGAAAUACCAUUUUUUCGCUAAUUUUGAUUUGAGAGCGUUGAUUUUGAAAAUUAACAAUUUAUAUUGAAUCAGUUAUCAUGAUUAAAUGAAAACAGCCUUAAUUUACAAUGAAA
This 2912-nucleotide unclassified non-coding RNA is filed under the name Rhagoletis pomonella (apple maggot). RNAcentral describes it as "1-acylglycerol-3-phosphate O-acyltransferase Pnpla3, transcript variant X2". The record is from RNAcentral. Lineage: Eukaryota; Metazoa; Arthropoda; Insecta; Diptera; Tephritidae.